This is a long non-coding RNA of Monomorium pharaonis (pharaoh ant), 324 nucleotides long. RefSeq lists it as uncharacterized. The record is from RefSeq and is a predicted model, not a curated record. Lineage: Eukaryota; Metazoa; Arthropoda; Insecta; Hymenoptera; Formicidae. The transcript has 3 exons.
AAUAGAAAUUUAAAGUUAUAUAAUAAUUGAAAAUGGUUUAUAGAAAAAAUUGUGCAUGUAACAAAAACCGAAAAAACUGAAAAAACCGAAAAGAUUAUUCAAGAUUUAAUAAAUAAAAGAGACAAUACAUCUAUUUCUGUGAAGAUAGUCAUUUUAUCAAUGAUAUUCAUUUGUUGGCUAAUCUAAUUCCACCGAAGGGAAGAGUUUUUAUUCAAACUGACUCUGGUCGCAAACAUUGGAAAUUUUCUACAAUAGAGAGUAUUGAAGCAAUUAUUGUACAUUGCAAGUUACCAGGUGAUGUGGAACGCAUAAUUAAACAGCAGA